CAGAUUCACAAGCUUUAAUCAUUACUUUUUCUGUUAUACAUUGAAUUGUGGAUGUCCUUUAAUUAGUAAAACAGCCACUAAAAUUGUUUUUAUGGUUUGCUAUCACAAAAGUCGAAGGAUUGCUAGAAUGCUGUUUACCUGUUUCAACAGCUCCCAUCAACUACCGCUACUCACUUUACAUAGAAAUAAAAACAGCUACUAUUCAUUGAGCCUAUUUCUAUAUGGGAAUCUUAGUGUCCUCACACACAUUAAUUCACUCAAUUCUCCCCAAACUCUAUGAGGUAAACUAUUAUGCCCAUUUUAGACUCAAAUGUCAAAACCAUAUAUGCAUUUUGUUCCACUGACCCCAAGUGGUAACUGUGAGUAGUAGUUCUAACAAUGAGGCAUUUUUUAAAAAGUCCUAUUAAUGUUUACCUAUAAUUUAACCUAUAAGGAUAAACCCAUACCCCCAUUGAACAUGGUACUUUUUUCCAUUUAUUGUCUAAUAUGUGGCACACAGUAAAUGAACAAUCUCAAUCCUUAAAACAGGUGUUAUGACUUUUACAUAUGACAAAACCACAGAGUAAAUAGCAGAACAUCUCGAACCUGCCCAAUAAUUUGCCUCCUAACAGAGGUGUGUACGGCCUGACCUUUGUACACCUCAAAAAUGGCAACAUGGGAGAAGUAAUUCCAUCAUUCAUCCACACACAGCAGAGAGGUACAAGUACUAACAGAAGCUGAUCUCUCAUAUUAACGUAUGUAUUUGUUCCUUGUCCCGUCUUCAGGAACCAAUAAAAAUAAAGUGAGCUCCGAGAGAGUGGAAAUCUGGUUGGCCUCAUUCACAGCUCUACUCCUAUCACUUUGUACAGAGCCUGGCAUAGACAGCUGUUCAAUAAAUACUGGGGACAAAAUAAAGUCCAUGUGGGAAAAUGGGCCAGCCGCUACCAAGGAUGAAGACAUACAAUAUAUACAUAUAUUUUUGGGGAAGACUUCAAUUCCGACUCACAGGAAAGAUGAAUCCAAAGAUGUGAAAUCUGUACUGGGAUCUUUUUUGUGGGGUCUGUGAGCCAGGAUGAAAUUUGCUGAGGAUGAAAUAAAUAGGAGUGUCAAUUAAGGGCAGAAGAUGAUUACUAGUGUUAACUUUUCAAUGUGGAUUCCUGGUCUGAAAUGUGUUUCCCCCUGCACUUACAUAUUUGGUCCUAUCUUUCCUUACAUGUUUAUUAAAGCAAUAUUGUGCCAUUAGGCAAUGCAACUCCCAAAGACAUUACUGGAAUGAGGUCAUUGCUUCAGGCUAGUGGGAGAAUAUAAGAGAGUUCAAACAGGUUAUUUGUUGGGUAAGAACCCCUAAAAGCAAGAGGUUUUUGUUUUGUUUGAAAGCAAAGUCAAACCGAUUCUCAAAGUGAAUAUGAUAUGAUGAAGACAGGAUCAUUAUGAAGCUAGAAACUUGACAACAUCACUUUAAAAGCUCAAGCAUAUGUAACCCACGACUAAAGGCGCUGCAAUGUUAUGCAAUAUGACUGUCAGGGGAACGAAUUUCCAACCUCAUGACUCACUUAUUGAACGUUUCCUUCAUUAAAAAAAAAAUAUGAACAUAAAAGUGCUAUAUAAAGAUAUCUGAUAUCCAAAGCAUGAAAGCACAGCAGCUACUAGGCUAGGAAGAAUCUCAAGUUGACAUCGUGCCAUCAGAGCCACCCUUCCAAGACGGAAAGUUACUCCACUUUUUGAAAAAUAUGGCCGCAGACACUUCCUGCCCCGAGCUCAGCUCGAUCCGACGGUAUCUUCCCAGAACUUGGUCCUGAGUGCUCACAAACUGGCAGCAGCACGGCCUGGAUGUUGGGCAGGACGCCGCCCUGAGCGAUGGUCACUUUGCCCAGCAGCUUGUUUAACUCCUCGUCGUUGCGGAUGGCGAGCUGCAGGUGGCGGGGAAUUAUCCUGGUCUUCUUGUUGUCACGCGCGGCGUUGCCAGCCAGCUCCAGGAUCUCCGCCGUAAGGUACUCCAACACCGCCGCCAGGUACACCGGCGCCCCGGCGCCCACUCGCUCCGCGUAGUUCCCUUUGCGCAGCAGUCUGUGCACUCGGCCCACCGGGAACUGCAGGCCCGCGCGGGAGGAGCGGGAUUUGGCCUUUGCUCGCACUUUGCCGCCCUGUUUCCCGCGACCGGACAUGAUCACCUCUCGCCUACAACUCCAGAGACGGAGACAAACCGCUCUCGGCGUCCGGUACCGGAAUGC
RNAcentral lists this long non-coding RNA (2210 nucleotides) under Homo sapiens (human). Its description in RNAcentral is "non-protein coding lnc-HIST4H4-2:1". Lineage: Eukaryota; Metazoa; Chordata; Mammalia; Primates; Hominidae. The record is from RNAcentral.